GCAAGUCGAGCGCUCACCUUCGGGUGGGAGCGGCGGACGGGUUAGUAACGCGUGGGAACAUACCCUUUUCUAUGGAAUAGCCUCGGGAAACUGAGAGUAAUACCAUGUACGCCCUUCGGGGGAAAGAUUUAUCGGUGAAGGAUUGGCCCGCGUAAGAUUAGAUAGUUGGUGGGGUAAUGGCCUACCAAGUCUACGAUCUUUAGCUGGUUUGAGAGGAUGAUC
This 222-nucleotide ribosomal RNA is filed under the name uncultured bacterium. RNAcentral describes it as "partial 16S ribosomal RNA". It matches the Rfam family "Bacterial small subunit ribosomal RNA", at positions 57 to 305 of the family's 1533-position model. The record is from RNAcentral.